UGGUCGAACCAGGCCUCCCACGGAUCAAGCCUCUCCACCGUUCAUUCUUACUCGAUCCAACGGUCCCUACUUCUUCUACUAUCUAUUUGUGCUUUCGUUGGUACCUUAUCCUCUCACACGAACACGAGCACCAUACCAGCAGCAGACGCACUCGAGUACCUUCUAGGCUCUCCGUUGCCGGUUGCGUGACGUGCCGUCGCCCGCGCCUCCCACCGCAGCACGCCGGCCGAGCGCCCAUGGCGUCACCCGAGGACACCUUCCACCCGCCAUUCUCCUUCAAAUUCGUCGGGAUCCGGCCUGAUCCGGAUGGAUCCGGAUGCCGACGGCCCAUUCCCGACCUCCCUGCCUUGCCUGGUUCGUCGGCCUCUCCGAUGUCGUCAUCUUCGUCACGGGAUCCAGCGCUACCGAUGGCUGGCCUCCUCCUCGCCUGGAUGUGACCCCCCCCACGUCGGAGCCUCCAACAUGAGCAGCAGCAGCGAACGCCUCGACAAGGGCGUCUUCGGUGUUGUCUUUAUUUUAAUUUUAUUUUAAAGAAGUUUGCCAGAUCAGUGGCCAGGGAAAAGCCAUGGCGAUGAAGUCUGAUUGAUGUCUCGCGAGCGCUCGGUGGCGCUUGAUGUGGUGGAUGCAGAAUAGUAUAGCUCAGAGUAGUAGGCCAGAUCUGAAAAAAAAUUAUCUGUACUUACAUUUUUGCUGUGUAUUUCUUCAUUUUUUGAUAAAGUUAUGUAUAUGGUAUAUAUAUAUAUAUAUAUAUAUAUAUAUGUGCAAACUCCUUUUUUCUAUAAGGCAAUGAGCAUAUUUAAUCAGAAUUUUUUUAUUGA
This is a long non-coding RNA of Triticum aestivum (bread wheat), 818 nucleotides long. RefSeq lists it as uncharacterized. The record is from RefSeq and is a predicted model, not a curated record. NCBI's taxonomy places the organism in Eukaryota, Viridiplantae, Streptophyta, Magnoliopsida, Poales, Poaceae. The transcript has 2 exons.